GACCAUCUCCUAAGGCUAAAUACUCUCUAGUGACCGAUAGUGAACCAGUACCGUGAGGGAAAGGUGAAAAGCACCCCGGAAGGGGAGUGAAAUAGAACCUGAAACCGUGUGCUUACAAGUAGUCAGAGCCCGUUAAUGGGUGAUGGCGUGCCUUUUGUAGAAUGAACCGGCGAGUUACGAUUUGAUGCAAGGUUAAGCAGUAAAUGUGGAGCCGUAGCGAAAGCGAGUCUGAAUAGGGCGUUUAGUAUUUGGUCGUAGACCCGAAACCAGGUGAUCUACCCUUGGUCAGGUUGAAGUUCAGGUAACACUGAAUGGAGGACCGAACCGACUUACGUUGAAAAGUGAGCGGAUGAACUGAGGGUAGCGGAGAAAUUCCAAUCGAACCUGGAGAUAGCUGGUUCUCUCCGAAAUAGCUUUAGGGCUAGCCUCAAGUGAUGAUUAUUGGAGGUAGAGCACUGUUUGGACGAGGGGCCCCUCUCGGGUUACCGAAUUCAGACAAACUCCGAAUGCCAAUUAAUUUAACUUGGGAGUCAGAA
RNAcentral lists this ribosomal RNA (536 nucleotides) under Staphylococcus aureus. Its description in RNAcentral is "partial 23S ribosomal RNA". It matches the Rfam family "Bacterial large subunit ribosomal RNA", at positions 451 to 989 of the family's 2925-position model. The record is from RNAcentral. Lineage: Bacteria; Bacillati; Bacillota; Bacilli; Caryophanales; Staphylococcaceae.